AGGAUAAAGGAUCAUGAAAUAGAAGCGGAGGCUAGCCAGCAGAGAACUCUGGCUUAUAUUCUAUGGGAAAGGGGAAGACAUUGUUUGAACAGCAGCCCGACGUAAUUGUUCUUCUGGGCGAAGACAGACUUCAGGACGAGCUAUGAAGUACAGGAUCAAGGCACCAGCACCCAGUGCCUGGCAGGAGCCUCCUCCUGAGUCUUCACAUGGCAGAAGAACAGAGAGAGAAGGAUGGAAGCCAGUUCCCACUGUCCUUCAAAGCACUGAUCCAGUGGAGCAGGCAGAGCCUCCAGCUUCAGUCCCAUCCCAAAGGCAGCACCUCAGGACAUGGCCAAAGGAGUCUUAAAGAGGAGACAGCUGUGCACAGGCACAGGUCACAGCAAAGCGAGGACUGAGAAGGGACCAUUGGGUUUAACCAUAUGGAGAACAGAGCCUCUUUUAGCAAUGGUUUCAGCUUGCUUGGAGUCCAUUGAAGACAGCCCAGAAGAAACAAACGGAAGACUGGAGACAACUCUAAGAAAUGCUGCUGUACUAAGGCAUCAGAGAUAGAGUAUUAGAGAACAAGGAACGUGGAGGGCCCAAAAUAAGUUGAUUGUAAAUGAGAAAAGUAACAGCACAUUUGUGUGCUACUAGGAGUAAUCCUUUACAGUCUGAAAAAAAAUGAUGAGACAUUUAAAAAGAGAGAAAAGCUCAAGUGAUCCCUGCUACCAGGCAUAAUGUAAACAGCAAAUAGCUGAUUAGCAGCAAGAUGUCUGGUCUCCGACUGUCUGAGGUUCUAUUUAGCUACUUUAUUCUCUUCAACCCUCAGUCUUCCUUUAAAAGGAGCCAGGACUUCAACCCUGUCACAUUCUGACUCCUUGCCACCGAAAGAUACUCAAGAAUACUAAGCAAAUGAGCUUCCAAAGAAGCUCAAGGAUGUGGUGAAUGGUACCCAAUAUAGAAUGACCUAGACUUCUGGGUCAAAGAUAUGAGAGAAGCUAUUGAAUCAGUACAAGAGAAGAAUGUGAGCUCAGGAAGUUGGAGUUUCAUUUCUGCUGUUUUUAUUCUCCCCAGACUUCAUCAAUACCCACGUACACAUCAAAAACCGCAAGUUGGUAUGAAAAGUAAAUUUGUUUGGCAGUCUUGAAUUCUGACACAUUUCUUU
Molecule: long non-coding RNA, 1144 nt
Organism: Ochotona princeps (American pika)
Lineage: Eukaryota; Metazoa; Chordata; Mammalia; Lagomorpha; Ochotonidae
Exons: 3
Source: RefSeq, a predicted model, not a curated record